GUAAAACUUGUUAUAAAUGUUACAUUCAAUAAAUUGAGGAUAUAAAAGUUUAACUAUGACGACGGCAGUUGCAAAAUAUGCAUAUUUCGUAAUUCUAUAACAUUUAAAUAUACAUUUUCCUUCCUUUUAACUAUUAUAUGCUAUACUAUACUAUAUUAUUAGUAUAAUAUCCAGCUUUAUUCCGAAUGAUUUUGUUGUUGGGAUGGGAGGUGGGGCAGUUGGAUAACUUGAAUAAGAGGG
RNAcentral lists this long non-coding RNA (240 nucleotides) under Mytilus galloprovincialis (Mediterranean mussel). Lineage: Eukaryota; Metazoa; Mollusca; Bivalvia; Mytilida; Mytilidae. The record is from RNAcentral.